Molecule: ribosomal RNA, 769 nt
Filed under: uncultured bacterium
Lineage: Bacteria
Description: bacterial SSU rRNA
Rfam family: Bacterial small subunit ribosomal RNA
Source: RNAcentral
CCCGGCGAAAGUCGGACUAAUACCGUAUGUUGUCCAUUGACGGCAUCCGAUUUGGACGAAAAGGCUUGGCGGUGAGGGAUGGGGAUGCGUCCGAUUAGCCAGACGGCGGGGUAACGGCCCACCGUGGCGACGAUCGGUAGGGGUUCUGAGAGGAAGGUCCCCCACACUGGAACUGAGACACGGUCCAGACUCCUACGGGAGGCAGCAGUGAGGAAUAUUGGUCAAUGGGCGUAAGCCUGAACCAGCCAAGUAGCGUGCAGGACGACGGCCCUAUGGGUUGUAAACUGCUUUUAUGCGGGGAUAAAGUGGCCCACGUGUGGGUUUUUGCAGGUACCGCAUGAAUAAGGACCGGCUAAUUCCGUGCCAGCAGCCGCGGUAAUACGGAAGGUCCGGGCGUUAUCCGGAUUUAUUGGGUUUAAAGGGAGCGUAGGCCGCGCCUUAAGCGUGUUGUGAAAUCCGGGUGCUCAACAUCCGGCUUGCAGCGCGAACUGGGGCGCUUGAGUGCGCAGAAAGUAGGCGGAAUUCGUGGUGUAGCGGUGAAAUGCUUAGAUAUCACGAGGAACUCCGAUUGCGAAGGCAGCCUACUGUAGCGCUACUGACGCUGAUGCUCGAAAGCGUGGGUAUCGAACAGGAUUAGAUACCCUGGUAGUCCACGCGGUAAACGAUGGAUGCUCGUUGUCGGCCCUUUGGGUCGGUGACCAAGCGAAAGCGUUAAGCAUCCCACCUGGGGAGUACGCUGGCAACGGUGAAACUCAAAGGAAUUGACGGA